RNAcentral lists this transfer RNA (76 nucleotides) under Salmonella sp. FORC89. Its description in RNAcentral is "tRNA-Ala". Lineage: Bacteria; Pseudomonadati; Pseudomonadota; Gammaproteobacteria; Enterobacterales; Enterobacteriaceae. The record is from RNAcentral.
AUCGACGAUUUCAAUACCUGCGCCCAGCUCAACGCCCUGAGAUGCCGCGACGCGGUUGAUUUCAUCCGGGUUGCCC